Molecule: ribosomal RNA, 497 nt
Filed under: uncultured Paraglomus
Lineage: Eukaryota; Fungi; Glomeromycota; Glomeromycetes; Paraglomerales; Paraglomeraceae
Description: SSU rRNA
Rfam family: Eukaryotic small subunit ribosomal RNA
Source: RNAcentral
CCAAUAGCGUAUAUUAAAGUUGUUGUGGUUAAAAAGCUCGUAGUUGAACCUUGGGCCUGGCUGGCCGGUCCGCCUCACCGCAUGUACUGGUCCGGCCGGGUCUUUCCCUCUGUAGAACCCCAUGCCCUUCACUGGGUGUGGCGGGGAAACAGGACUUUUACUUUGAAAAAAUUAGAGUGCUCCAGGCAGGCCUAUUCUCGAAUACGUUAGCAUGGAAUAAUAGAAUAGGACGUGCGGUCCUAUUUUGUUGGUUUCUGGGACCGCCGUAAUGAUUAAUAGGGACAGUCGGGGGCAUCAGUAUUCAAUUGUCAGAGGUGAAAUUCUUGGAUUUAUUGAAGACUAACUACUGCGAAAGCAUUUGCCAAGGAUGUUUUCAUUAAUCAGUGAACGAAAGUUAGGGGAUCGAAGACGAUCAGAUACCGUCGUAGUCUUAACCAUAAACUAGGCCGACUAGGGAUCGGGCGGUGUUUUAAUAAUGACUCGCUCGGCACCUUACG